CACUGGUCGAGUCGGCCUGCGCGGAAGAUGUAACGGGGCUAAACCAUGCACCGAAGCUGCGGCAGCGACACUGUGUGUUGUUGGGUAGGGGAGCGUUCUGUAAGCCUGUGAAGGUGGCCUGUGAGGGUUGCUGGAGGUAUCAGAAGUGCGAAUGCUGACAUAAGUAACGAUAAAGCGGGUGAAAAGCCCGCUCGCCGGAAGACCAAGGGUUCCUGUCCAACGUUAAUCGGGGCAGGGUGAGUCGACCCCUAAGGCGAGGCCGAAAGGCGUAGUCGAUGGGAAACGGGUUAAUAUUCCCGUACUUGGUGUUACUGCGAAGGGGGGACGGAGAAGGCUAUGUUGGCCGGGCGACGGUUGUCCCGGUUUAAGCGUGUAGGUGUGUGUUCCAGGUAAAUCCGGUUCACUUUAACACUGAGGCGUGACGACGAGGCACUACGGUGCUGAAGCAACAAAUGCCCUGCUUCCAGGAAAAGCCUCUAAGCAUCAGGUAACAUCAAAUCGUACCCCAAACCGACACAGGUGGUCAGGUAGAGAAUACCAAGGCGCUUGAGAGAACUCGGGUGAAGGAACUAGGCAAAAUGGUGCCGUAACUUCGGGAGAAGGCACGCUGACACGUAGGUGAAGUGAUUUACUCACGGAGCUGAAGUCAGUCGAAGAUACCAGCUGGCUGCAACUGUUUAUUAAAAACACAGCACUGUGCAAACACGAAAGUGGACGUAUACGGUGUGACGCCUGCCCGGUGCCGGAAGGUUAAUUGAUGGGGUCAGCGCAAGCGAAGCUCCUGAUCGAAGCCCCGGUAAACGGCGGCCGUAACUAUAACGGUCCUAAGGUAGCGAAAUUCCUUGUCGGGUAAGUUCCGACCUGCACGAAUGGCGUAAUGAUGGCCAGGCUGUCUCCACCCGAGACUCAGUGAAAUUGAACUCGCUGUGAAGAUGCAGUGUACCCGCGGCAAGACGGAAAGACCCCGUGAACCUUUACUAUAGCUUGACACUGAACAUUGAGCCUUGAUGUGUAGGAUAGGUGGGAGGCUUUGAAGCGUGGACGCCAGUCUGCGUGGAGCCGACCUUGAAAUACCACCCUUUAAUGUUUGAUGUUCUAACGUGGACCCGUGAUCCGGGUUGCGGACAGUGUCUGGUGGGUAGUUUGACUGGGGCGGUCUCCUCCUAAAGAGUAACGGAGGAGCACGAAGGUUGGCUAAUCCUGGUCGGACAUCAGGAGGUUAGUGCAAUGGCAUAAGCCAGCUUGACUGCGAGCGUGACGGCGCGAGCAGGUGCGAAAGCAGGUCAUAGUGAUCCGGUGGUUCUGAAUGGAAGGGCCAUCGCUCAACGGAUAAAAGGUACUCCGGGGAUAACAGGCUGAUACCGCCCAAGAGUUCAUAUCGACGGCGGUGUUUGGCACCUCGAUGUCGGCUCAUCACAUCCUGGGGCUGAAGUAGGUCCCAAGGGUAUGGCUGUUCGCCAUUUAAAGUGGUACGCGAGCUGGGUUUAGAACGUCGUGAGACAGUUCGGUCCCUAUCUGCCGUGGGCGCUGGAGAACUGAGGGGGGCUGCUCCUAGUACGAGAGGACCGGAGUGGACGCAUCACUGGUGUUCGGGUUGUCAUGCCAAUGGCACUGCCCGGUAGCUAAAUGCGGAAGAGAUAAGUGCUGAAAGCAUCUAAGCACGAAACUUGCCCCGAG
Molecule: ribosomal RNA, 1677 nt
Filed under: Salmonella enterica
Lineage: Bacteria; Pseudomonadati; Pseudomonadota; Gammaproteobacteria; Enterobacterales; Enterobacteriaceae
Description: partial 23S ribosomal RNA
Rfam family: Bacterial large subunit ribosomal RNA
Source: RNAcentral